AGUGAACGCUGGCGGUAGGCCUAACACAUGCAAGUCGAACGGCAGCACAGUAAGAGUUUGUUCUUACGUGUGGCGUGUCGCAGACGGGUGUGGUGUACAUCGGACUCUAUUUUUUCGUGGGGGAUCUAGUAGGGAAACUUACUCUAAUACCGUAUCCGACCUACACGUGAAAGCAGGAGCUCUUCGCCCCUUGCGCUCUUGUAUGCGCCGAUGUCGGUUUAGAUAGUUGGCGGGGUCAAGGCCCACCAAGGGGACGAGCCCUCGCUGGUCUGAGGGGGUGAACAGGCCAACGGGAAAUUGAACACGGUCCAGACUCCUACGGGAGGGAGCAGUGGGGAAUAUUGCGCAAAGGGCGCAAGCCUGAUGCCGCCAUGCCGCGUGUGUGAAAAAGGCCUUCGGGUUGUAAAGUCCUUUUUGCGGGGAGAAAAAGAGUAAAGUUUAUACCCCCGCUUAUUGACGGUACCCGAAAAAGAAGCCCCGGCUAACUCCGUG
Molecule: ribosomal RNA, 492 nt
Filed under: uncultured bacterium
Lineage: Bacteria
Description: partial 16S ribosomal RNA
Rfam family: Bacterial small subunit ribosomal RNA
Source: RNAcentral